This 74-nucleotide transfer RNA is filed under the name Danionella translucida. It matches the Rfam family "tRNA". From Rfam's summary of the family: Transfer RNA (tRNA) molecules are approximately 80 nucleotides in length. Their secondary structure includes four short double-helical elements and three loops (D, anti-codon, and T loops). Further hydrogen bonds mediate the characteristic L-shaped molecular structure. tRNAs have two regions of fundamental functional importance: the anti-codon, which is responsible for specific mRNA codon recognition, and the 3' end, to which the tRNAs corresponding amino acid is attached (by aminoacyl-tRNA synthetases). tRNAs cope with the degeneracy of the genetic code in two manners: having more than one tRNA (with a specific anti-codon) for a particular amino acid; and 'wobble' base-pairing, i.e. permitting non-standard base-pairing at the 3rd anti-codon position. RNAcentral also lists the same sequence under 1 other name. The record is from Rfam by way of RNAcentral. Lineage: Eukaryota; Metazoa; Chordata; Actinopteri; Cypriniformes; Danionidae.
GGCCUGUUAGCUCAGCUGGUUAGAGCGUGGUGCUAGUAAUGCCAAGGUCGUGGGUUCGAUACCCACAUGGGCCA